This 254-nucleotide ribosomal RNA is filed under the name uncultured bacterium. RNAcentral describes it as "partial 16S ribosomal RNA". It matches the Rfam family "Bacterial small subunit ribosomal RNA", at positions 524 to 776 of the family's 1533-position model. The record is from RNAcentral.
UACGGAGGGUGCGAGCGUUGUUCGGAAUCACUGGGCGUAAAGAGUGCGUAGGCGGUUAUGAAAGUUAGAAGUGAAAGCCCAGGGCUCAACCUUGGAAUUGCUUUUAAAAACUACAUAACUCGAAUUCGGGAGAGGAUAGCGGAAUUGUCAGUGUAGCAGUGAAAUGCGUAGAUAUUGACAGGAACACCGGUGGCGUAAGCGGCUAUCUGGACCGACAUUGACGCUGAGGCACGAAAGCGUGGGGAUCAAACAGG